Molecule: non-coding RNA, 520 nt
Organism: Hydra vulgaris (swiftwater hydra)
Lineage: Eukaryota; Metazoa; Cnidaria; Hydrozoa; Anthoathecata; Hydridae
Source: RefSeq, a predicted model, not a curated record
GUAGUAUAGUUGUUUUUCAUUACAAGAUUAACUUUUUUGCUUUUCGAAGCUUUAAAAUCAAUUAAAAUUAAGCACUUUACUGGCAAUGAUUUGGUGGGCUGUGUACCAUCGUGUGGUAAUCUUAGUAUUGCAGAUGGCACAGUAAAAACUAUAGGCCGUCUGUUUGCAGCAUCUAUUGUGAAUGGUGGUUCUAUACCUUUUUUUUUGUUCCUUUGGGUUUAUGAACUUAUGACGAAUGGCAUAUCAGCUGCAGUAAGGUGUUGUCCGAAGGCUCUAGAGGAAUCGUCAAAUUUAAAAAGUAUUUUUGAUAAGAUUUUGUUUGCAACUACAGAUGGCUGUUUAAGUACUCUGUUAUGUACAGAUGAAGGAAUGGAUGCCCUUGAAAUUAUUCGAUAUAGAAGUGAUCCAAGAAAAUUAAUGAUAAACAUUCUCUUUUAGAGUCAAUGUUAAUUAAAGGUAAAGUAGAGCAAUUUUUACCUGUUAUUGGAGAAAUUGCGAUUGGUUUACGAGUGUAUGGCCU